AUGGCGUUGUGGACUGGGCUAGGUCAGGCGGCGACGGUGGCACAGCUGGUUGGCGCAGACAUUGGCGGGCUCAUCUCUAUGUUCAUGCAGGCUGCACUGACGGCUCGGCAGAACAAGAAGGAGUGCGAGCAGCUCGCCCGUCGUGUCUUGGCGGGUCUGGAAGACACGCUUCGGGACGCCAACGAGCUCAUCGUUUCCUGCCAGGGGAGGAGCACGGCGUACCAAGUAUUCAUGGCUGGGAGGCAGGCCGAAAGGUUCAAGGAGGUGCAGAGCAACGUCGACUUCUACCUCAUGCUCUUCCCCGUGAUCAGCCACAUCGACGUAACAUGCCGCCUCCACCAAACCUACGAGGUCCUUGUACCAGACGACUCCACAAAAGGUGAACCGUCUCCACUUCCACACUCGUCCCAGCUGCAGGUAUGA
RNAcentral lists this ribosomal RNA (423 nucleotides) under Triticum aestivum (bread wheat). Its description in RNAcentral is "partial small subunit ribosomal RNA". The record is from RNAcentral. Lineage: Eukaryota; Viridiplantae; Streptophyta; Magnoliopsida; Poales; Poaceae.